This is a long non-coding RNA of Mustela erminea (ermine), 364 nucleotides long. RefSeq lists it as uncharacterized. The record is from RefSeq and is a predicted model, not a curated record. Lineage: Eukaryota; Metazoa; Chordata; Mammalia; Carnivora; Mustelidae. The transcript is spliced from 4 exons.
CUCUUCCUUCUGGGUCUGCGGUUGACAAGGAGUGGUGGAGAGUGAGCGCUCCCCCUGCCUCCCAACUCCAUUCCAAAUGAGGUUUCCUGUCGAUAGAGCCCUCCAGGCACGACUGAUACUCCCUUUGUGACAUUUGAGAUGCUCUGAUUGCUUCAAGCUCCACCCUCCCCCCCUGCACCCCCCACCACCACUUCUGCUUUGGACUCAUAUCUCAGCGAGCUGAUAAGCAAGCCUGGGUAUUCCUUCCUUUGGUGACAGCGAGAUGUUCACACCACAGAAGCCUGGUGGACACUUUGAACCUAUCUGGGAAACUUGCCCUCUUAACCCCGGAAAGCCUUGUGAUUUGAGAAAUAAACCUUGUCAU